This 74-nucleotide transfer RNA is filed under the name Planctomycetota bacterium. RNAcentral's name for it is "Planctomycetes bacterium (microbial mat metagenome) tRNA-Pro". It matches the Rfam family "tRNA". From Rfam's summary of the family: Transfer RNA (tRNA) molecules are approximately 80 nucleotides in length. Lineage: Bacteria; Pseudomonadati; Planctomycetota. The record is from RNAcentral.
CGGGGAGUAGCUCAGCUUGGUAGAGCGCCUGCUUUGGGAGCAGGAGGUCGCAGGUUCAAAUCCUGUCUCCCCGA